RNAcentral lists this ribosomal RNA (346 nucleotides) under uncultured bacterium. RNAcentral's name for it is "partial 16S ribosomal RNA". It matches the Rfam family "Bacterial small subunit ribosomal RNA", at positions 338 to 681 of the family's 1533-position model. The record is from RNAcentral.
CCUACGGGUGGCAGCAGUGAGGAAUAGUGGUCAAUGGACGAGAGUCUGAACCAGCCAAGUAGCGUGAAGGAUGACUGCCCUAUGGGUUGUAAACUUCGUUUAUAGGGGAAUAAAAUGGUACACGUGUGGGAUUUUGUAUGUACCAUAUGAAUAAGGAUCGGCUAACUCCGUGCCAGCAGCCGCGGUAAUACGGAGGAUCCGAGCGUUAUCCGGAUUUAGUGGGUUUAAAGGGAGCGUAGGGGGAUUGUUAAGGCAGUUGUGAAAGUUUGCGGCUCAACCGUAAAAUUGCAGUUGAAACUGGCAGUCUUGAUUACAGUAGAGGUGGGCGGACUUCGUGUUGUAGCGG